Molecule: ribosomal RNA, 480 nt
Filed under: Staphylococcus equorum
Lineage: Bacteria; Bacillati; Bacillota; Bacilli; Caryophanales; Staphylococcaceae
Description: bacterial SSU rRNA
Rfam family: Bacterial small subunit ribosomal RNA
Source: RNAcentral
GCUCAGGAUGAACGCUGGCGGCGUGCCUAAUACAUGCAAGUCGAGCGAACAGAUAAGGAGCUUGCUCCUUUGAAGUUAGCGGCGGACGGGUGAGUAACACGUGGGUAACCUACCUAUAAGACUGGAAUAACUUCGGGAAACCGGAGCUAAUGCCGGAUAACAUUUGGAACCGCAUGGUUCUAAAGUAAAAGAUGGUUUUGCUAUCACUUAUAGAUGGACCCGCGCCGUAUUAGCUAGUUGGUAAGGUAACGGCUUACCAAGGCAACGAUACGUAGCCGACCUGAGAGGGUGAUCGGCCACACUGGAACUGAGACACGGUCCAGACUCCUACGGGAGGCAGCAGUAGGGAAUCUUCCGCAAUGGACGAAAGUCUGACGGAGCAACGCCGCGUGAGUGAUGAAGGUUUUCGGAUCGUAAAACUCUGUUAUUAGGGAAGAACAAAUGUGUAAGUAACUGUGCACAUCUGACGGUACCUAAUCA